UACGUAGGGCGCAAGCGUUAUCCGGAAUUAUUGGGCGUAAAGAGCUCGUAGGCGGUUUGUCGCGUCUGCCGUGAAAGUCCGGGGCUCAACUCCGGAUCUGCGGUGGGUACGGGCAGACUAGAGUGAUGUAGGGGAGACUGGAAUUCCUGGUGUAGCGGUGAAAUGCGCAGAUAUCAGGAAGAACACCUAUGGCGAAGGCAGCUCUCUGGGACGGUACUGACGCUGAGACGCGAAAGCCAGGGGAGCGAACGGG
RNAcentral lists this ribosomal RNA (253 nucleotides) under uncultured bacterium. RNAcentral's name for it is "partial 16S ribosomal RNA". It matches the Rfam family "Bacterial small subunit ribosomal RNA", at positions 524 to 776 of the family's 1533-position model. The record is from RNAcentral.